UGGGGAAUUUUGGACAAUGGGCGAAAGCCUGAUCCAGCAAUGCCGCGUGUGUGAAGAAGGCCUUCGGGUUGUAAAGCACUUUUGUCCGGAAAGAAAUCCUUGGCUCUAAUACAGUCGGGGGAUGACGGUACCGGAAGAAUAAGCACCGGCUAACUACGUGCCAGCAGCCGCGGUAAUACGUAGGGUGCAAGCGUUAAUCGGAAUUACUGGGCGUAAAGCGUGCGCAGGCGGUUUGCUAAGACCGAUGUGAAAUCCCCGGGCUCAACCUGGGAACUGCAUUGGUGACUGGCAGGCUAGAGUAUGGCAGAGGGGGGUAGAAUUCCACGUGUAGCAGUGAAAUGCGUAGAGAUGUGGAGGAAUACCGAUGGCGAAGGCAGCCCCCUGGGCCAAAUACUGACGCUCAUGCACGAAAGCGUGGGGAGCAAAACAGGAUUAGAUACCCUGGUAGUCCACGCCCUAAAACGAUGUCAACUAGUUGUUGGGGAUUCAUUUCCUUAGUAACGUAGCUAACGCGUGAAGUUGACCGCCUGGGGAGUACGGUCGCAAGAUUAAAACUCAAAGGAAUUGACGGGG
RNAcentral lists this ribosomal RNA (573 nucleotides) under uncultured bacterium. Its description in RNAcentral is "partial 16S ribosomal RNA". It matches the Rfam family "Bacterial small subunit ribosomal RNA", at positions 355 to 918 of the family's 1533-position model. The record is from RNAcentral.